This 1373-nucleotide ribosomal RNA is filed under the name Vibrio alginolyticus. Its description in RNAcentral is "partial 23S ribosomal RNA". It matches the Rfam family "Bacterial large subunit ribosomal RNA", at positions 1576 to 2925 of the family's 2925-position model. Lineage: Bacteria; Pseudomonadati; Pseudomonadota; Gammaproteobacteria; Vibrionales; Vibrionaceae. The record is from RNAcentral.
UCUACGGAUGUGAAGUCAUUGAUGCCAUGCUUCCAGGAAAAGCCUCUAAGCUUCAGAUUGUAAGGAAUCGUACCCCAAACCGACACAGGUGGUCGGGUAGAGAAUACCAAGGCGCUUGAGAGAACUCGGGUGAAGGAACUAGGCAAAAUGGUACCGUAACUUCGGGAGAAGGUACGCUCUCGACGGUGAAGUCCCUCGCGGAUGGAGCUAUUGAGAGUCGCAGAUACCAGGUGGCUGCAACUGUUUAUUAAAAACACAGCACUGUGCAAAAUCGCAAGAUGACGUAUACGGUGUGACGCCUGCCCGGUGCCGGAAGGUUAAUUGAUGGGGUUAGACUUCGGUCGAAGCUCUUGAUCGAAGCCCCGGUAAACGGCGGCCGUAACUAUAACGGUCCUAAGGUAGCGAAAUUCCUUGUCGGGUAAGUUCCGACCUGCACGAAUGGCGUAAUGAUGGCCACGCUGUCUCCACCCGAGACUCAGUGAAAUUGAAAUCGCUGUGAAGAUGCAGUGUACCCGCGGCUAGACGGAAAGACCCCGUGAACCUUUACUACAGCUUGGCACUGAACAUUGACCCUACAUGUGUAGGAUAGGUGGGAGGCUUUGAAGCGCAGUCGCUAGAUUGCGUGGAGCCGUCCUUGAAAUACCACCCUUGUAGUGUUGAUGUUCUAACGUCGACCCCUUAUCGGGGUUGCGGACAGUGCCUGGUGGGUAGUUUGACUGGGGCGGUCUCCUCCCAAAGCGUAACGGAGGAGCACGAAGGUGGGCUAAUCACGGUUGGACAUCGUGAGGUUAGUGCAAUGGCAUAAGCCCGCUUGACUGCGAGAAUGACAAUUCGAGCAGGUGCGAAAGCAGGUCAUAGUGAUCCGGUGGUUCUGAAUGGAAGGGCCAUCGCUCAACGGAUAAAAGGUACUCCGGGGAUAACAGGCUGAUACCGCCCAAGAGUUCAUAUCGACGGCGGUGUUUGGCACCUCGAUGUCGGCUCAUCACAUCCUGGGGCUGAAGUCGGUCCCAAGGGUAUGGCUGUUCGCCAUUUAAAGUGGUACGCGAGCUGGGUUUAGAACGUCGUGAGACAGUUCGGUCCCUAUCUGCCGUGGGCGUUGGAGAAUUGAAAGGGGCUGCUCCUAGUACGAGAGGACCGGAGUGGACGAACCUCUGGUGUUCGGGUUGUGUCGCCAGACGCAUUGCCCGGUAGCUAAGUUCGGGAUCGAUAACCGCUGAAAGCAUCUAAGCGGGAAGCGAGCCUUGAGAUGAGUUCUCCCUGAUACUUUAAGUAUCCUAAAGGGUUGUCGUAGACUACGACGUUGAUAGGCAGGGUGUGUAAGCGUUGUGAGGCGUUGAGCUAACCUGUACUAAUUGCCCGUGAGGCUUAACCAU